Long non-coding RNA from Dinoponera quadriceps, 479 nucleotides. RefSeq lists it as uncharacterized. The transcript has 3 exons. Lineage: Eukaryota; Metazoa; Arthropoda; Insecta; Hymenoptera; Formicidae. The record is from RefSeq and is a predicted model, not a curated record.
CAAAGAUAAUUGUGCUGCACAGAUAAUAUUCACAGUGUAAUUGGCAUAUGCCGUUGUAACAUUGGUUACAUAACUGUUAUGUAACACACACGUUAUGUACUGUUAUAUAACUAUUAUGUAACACGCGUUAUUUCUUCCAAUGGCACAACGUAGCACGAAUUAAAGAAAUUGCUAAAAAAAAAAUUGGGUUCGUUUGGGCAGAAGCGCGGGGCUAAUAUAAUUUUUUAAUCUGUUGUUGAUGUUACCCAUUUCGCGUUUGCGGCACAGCAUAAAGAUGUUCGGGUGGAAUGUUAAGUUUCGCAGCAACUGGCAUGAUGAGAGAGUCGAAACCACCGGAGACGAGAAACACCUGCUUUCCAUGAGCUCGUAAAGCUGACACCAACUCUCUAAAUCUCUUACUCGAUACCAUCGGUCAGUUUUGGUUGGUGCGUGUUCAAGAACUCCUUUAUUUGGGCUAAACUUGGAUUUAUUAUCUGCAA